AAAGAGACCAAUAUAAACUGUGGCGGGAAAUUCGUUUUUCGGGUCCUUGUGCAGUUAAACACCCGCGGUUGGGAAGUCAGUUGAUUGCUCUCAUCUCCUCGAGUUUGACCAUGGUGCGGACGAAAGCGGACAGUGUCCCAGGCACCUACAGAAAAGUGGUCGCUUCGCGAGCCCCCAGGAAAGUGCUUGGUUCCUCCACUUCUGCCACUAAUUCCACAUCGCCUUCGUCAAGGAAAGUUGAAAAUAAGUAUGCAGGAGGGAAUCCAGUUUGUGUGCGCCCAACUCCCAAGUGGCAAAAAGGAAUUGGAGAAUUCUUCAGCCUGUCUCCUAAAGAUUUUGAAAAAGAGAAUCGGAUUCCUGAAGAGGCAGGAAGCAGUGGCUUAGGAAAAGCAAAAAGAAAAAACUGUGAGAGUCCCCAGUUGGACUGACUUAGAGAGCAUCUGAAGGAUUUGACUAGGAAAAUACAAUGAAGUCCUCUUGGUAAUCUAAUAGUAGAGCAUGUCCUUUGCCACCUGAUCACUCAGAUGACGAAAAAGAAUAGAACUUUCUUAAUUCAUCCUUGACUAAUGUCUCCUGUUUAUUAUUCUAGGAUGUAAAUGCAUAAAUGUAUUUGUUCCAAUUAGCUUUGUUGAAUAGGCAUUUAAUUUAAAAAAUGAGGCUUAUAUACAGUUACUCCAAAGCAAGUGAUUAUGAUAUUGGAGAAUUUGUAAGAUUAAUUACGAUUACUUAGCUUAGUAUUCAGUAAACUGCAAUAUUUGGUUUCUUUUACCUUGUUGUUAUUAAGCUUCUUGUUCUCGCUAAAAAUUAAUCAUUGUGUGGUGUUCUAAUUACGAACCUGUGUUUGAGAUUGUUUAGAUCUUUGUACUGCUGCCAUUUUUAUUGGCAUUUGAUAAUUGGAAUGGUGCCAUAUUUUUGUUUCUUUUAUUUGCCUUAAGAAGCAGAGUUAGUUUUUUGCACAUUAAAAAAAUUCAGUAUUAAUUAAACUGAAACUAUACCCUUUUCAAGAAAGAGGGCCAAAGAUGCAAUGUUGAAAAAAUUUGGACGGCUAUGUAUCUUCUCCGUCAGGGCAAUUUGGCCUGAGGGUUUAAAUAGUUGAUAAAGCUUCUAACAACAACAAAACAGCUAAAAUACUAGCAUAGAAUUAGACAGGAAUAUUUCAUAGACUACACUAAGAGAGAAAUUUUCCAAGAAUAUGCAUUUGAUUCAGUAUCAUAAAAUAUUACCCUUUGGGCCUGUAAUUUUAAAGUUGGAAAUCAAUAAAACAUGAAAGGCAACAUACCAUAAAUCCAGAUAUCUGUCUAGAGUCCUUAGAGCUACCAUUAUACAUUUUAAGAUAACCAGGGGUAUAAUCGAAGGGGAGGAUAUAAUAUUAUAUCCUUGGAUAUAUAACUUAGUAACUGAUAUUCUUACUUUCUCAUCACAUUUUUUGCUCCUUGACCUCCUGUUGUCAAAAUUAACCAUGUUUUAACAAGUAUGUUUUGCUGAACUUUGUUUUUAAUAAAUGAAUACUUAUUUUCACAA
Molecule: RNA transcript, 1521 nt
Organism: Lutra lutra (Eurasian river otter)
Lineage: Eukaryota; Metazoa; Chordata; Mammalia; Carnivora; Mustelidae
Gene: PCLAF
Gene name: PCNA clamp associated factor
Exons: 6
Source: RefSeq, a predicted model, not a curated record